AUUGAACGCUGGCGGCAUGCUUUACACAUGCAAGUCGAACGGCAGCGCGGGCUUCGGCCUGGCGGCGAGUGGCGAACGGGUGAGUAAUGCAUCGGAACGUGCCCAGUAGUGGGGGAUAGCCCGGCGAAAGCCGGAUUAAUACCGCAUACGACCUGAGGGUGAAAGCGGGGGACCGAAGGGCCUCGCGCUAUUGGAGCGGCCGAUGUCGGAGUAGCUAGUUGGUGGGGUAAAGGCUUACCAAGGCGACGAUCCGUAGCUGGUCUGAGAGGACCACCAGCCAGACGGGGACUGAGACCGGGCCCAGACUCCUACGGUAGGCAGCAGUGGGGAAUUUUGGACGAGGGAGGCGACCCUGAUCCAGCCAUGCCGCGUGCGGGAAGAAGGCCUUCGGGUUGUAAACCGCUUUUGUUCGGGAAGAAAUCCUCUGGGCUAAUACCCCGGGGGGAUGACGGUACCGGAAGAAUAAGCACCGGCUAACUACGUG
This 484-nucleotide ribosomal RNA is filed under the name uncultured bacterium. Its description in RNAcentral is "partial 16S ribosomal RNA". It matches the Rfam family "Bacterial small subunit ribosomal RNA", at positions 28 to 507 of the family's 1533-position model. The record is from RNAcentral.